GACAAACGCUGGCGGGGUGCAUGAGACAUGCAAGUCGAACGAGGUGCCAUCGGGCUUGCUCGAUGGUUACCUAGUGGCGGACGGCUGAGUAACGCGUAGGUGACCUACCCGGAAGUGGGGAAUAACUGCCCGAAAGGGUGGCUAAUACCGCAUGUGGUCGGCGAUUCGAUUCGCCGUCUAAAGGAGAAAUCCGCUUCCGGCGGGGCCUGCGUCCGAUUAGCUAGUUGGUGGGGUAACGGCGUCACCAAGGCGACGAUCGGUAGCUGGUCUGAGAGGAUGAUCAGCCAGACUGGGACUGAGGACGGCCCAGACUCCUACGGGAGGCAGCAGUGGGGAAUCUUGCGCAAUGGGCGAAAGCCUGACGCAGCGACGCCGCGUGA
This 380-nucleotide ribosomal RNA is filed under the name uncultured bacterium. RNAcentral's name for it is "bacterial SSU rRNA". It matches the Rfam family "Bacterial small subunit ribosomal RNA", at positions 28 to 404 of the family's 1533-position model. The record is from RNAcentral.